This 465-nucleotide ribosomal RNA is filed under the name uncultured bacterium. RNAcentral's name for it is "partial 16S ribosomal RNA". It matches the Rfam family "Bacterial small subunit ribosomal RNA", at positions 338 to 795 of the family's 1533-position model. The record is from RNAcentral.
CCUACGGGUGGCAGCAGUAGGGAAUCUUCGGCAAUGGGGGCAACCCUGACCGAGCAACGCCGCGUGAGUGAAGAAGGUUUUCGGAUCGUAAAGCUCUGUUGUAAGAGAAGAACGUGUGUGAGAGUGGAAAGUUCACACAGUCACGGUAACUUACCAGAAAGGGACUGCUAACUACGUGCCAGCAGCCGCGGUAAUACGUAGGUCCCGAGCGUUAUCCGGAUUUAUGGGGCGAAAGGCGGGUGCAGGCGGUUGGAUAAGUCUGAAGUUAAAGGCUGUGGCUAAACCAUAGUAUGCUUUGGAAACUGUGCAACUUGAGUGCAGAAGGGGAGAGUGGAAUUCCAUGUGUAGCGGUGGAAUGUGUAGAUAUAUGGAGGAACACCGGUGGCGAAGGCGGCUCUCUGGUCUGUAACUGACGCUGAGGCUCGAAAGCGUGGGUAGCGAACAGGAUUAGAUACCCGGGUAGUC